RNAcentral lists this ribosomal RNA (916 nucleotides) under uncultured archaeon. RNAcentral's name for it is "bacterial SSU rRNA". It matches the Rfam family "Archaeal small subunit ribosomal RNA", at positions 4 to 922 of the family's 1478-position model. The record is from RNAcentral.
CUGGUUGAUCCUGCCAGAGGUUACUGCUAUCGAGAUUCGACUAAGCCAUGCGAGUCGAAUGUUCUUCGUGAACAUGGCGAACUGCUCAGUAACACGUGGACAACCUGCCCUUAGGUUGGGUAUAAACCCGGGAAACUGGGUAUAAUACCCGAUAGGUCUCGAUUGCUGGAAUGCAUCGAGAUUUAAAGCUCCGGCGCCUAAGGAUGGGUCUGCGGCCUAUCAGGUAGUAGUGGGUGUAGCGUACCUACUAGCCUACGACGGGUACGGGUUGUGAGAGCAAGAGCCCGGAGAUGGAUUCUGAGACACGAAUCCAGGCCCUACGGGGUGCAGCAGGCGCGAAAACUUUACAAUGCUGGCAACAGCGAUAAGGGAACCUCGAGUGCCAGGUUACAAAUCUGGCUGUCGAGAUGCCUAAAAAGCAUUUCAUAGCAAGGGCCGGGCAAGACCGGUGCCAGCCGCCGCGGUAACACCGGCGGCUCGAGUGGUAACCGUUAUUAUUGGGUCUAAAGGGUCUGUAGCCGGCCGGAUAAGUCUCUUGAGAAAUCUGGCAGCUUAACUGUCAGGCUUUCAGGAGAUACUGUCUGGCUCGAGGCCGGGAGAGGUGAGAGGUACUUCAGGGGUAGGGGUGAAAUCUUGUAAUCCUUGAAGGACCACCAGUGGCGAAGGCGUCUCACCAGAACGGACCUGACGGCAAGGGACGAAAGCUAGGGGCACGAACCGGAUUAGAUACCCGGGUAGUCCUAGCCGUAAACGAUACUCGCUAGGUGUCGGCCACGGUGCGACCGUUGUCGGUGCCGUAGGGAAGCCGUGAAGCGAGCCACCUGGGAAGUACGGCCGCAAGGCUGAAACUUAAAGGAAUUGGCGGGGGAGCACCACAACGGGUGGAGCUUGCGGUUUAAUUGGAUUCAACGCCGGA